CAACUCUGUAACCAACUGUCACAUGUGACACCCCCCCUCCCCCGCCCUGCGCAAUCCUGGUUGUCACCAGGCUGGGGAGAGGAGGCCGUGCUCCCAGGCAAGUGUGCAGCGGCUGGGGCCCUGCGGGGCGGGGGAGCUGACGCCACUCACGGAGCGGGGAGGGUCUUCCAGGAAGCCGCAGGCUCGGCUGACUGCCGGGCUGCGGGUCGGGAUCCGGGCCGCGCCGCCUGGGCCGGCACGUAGCGCCCAGCGUGACUCAGCGCUGACUCACCGCGCUCGCUGCCAGUGGAUUUCCCCGUCAGCGGCUCCCGCUUGCCUGUCCUCGCCGCCGCCUGCUCCGCGAGCCCUUUCCUGCUCUCCAGGCCAGUCCCUGCGAUUUCGGCAGAGCAGCGGGGCCGACUUUACCGCCUUUGAAUCCCGACCAAAGCAGGGAAGUGACUAGCUUUGUUUUCUUUGACUUUAAGAGCUCAAUGGCCCACUAAUCAAAUUCUUUCAUCAAAGGCCUGUUGGAGCAUAUCCCUAACAUAGAUCGUCCUUCCUCGGUGACUUAAAGAUGACCUCCGCUCAGAGUUUGCUCCUGUCGUCCUAAGCCUGCAUCUUAUUUUUAUCCCACAUUUUCUUAGGUUAUCUUUUUAAUAUGUUUGGUAACUAGUCUUGGCACAAACCCACAAGGGCAGUGACGCAAAUCAGGUUGAAACUUGGCAUGAUGUGUGGGCUUGAGUGACUUACUGUAAAAACCAGGGAACGCUUCAUAAAGACGUUACUAUGAGCCAUCUCAGUUGCUGAUUAGAUGCCCUGCUCAGUUUCAUCUGUCACUACCAUCUCUGCAAGAUACCAGGACAGACUGUUAAAAAUGCAGACUCUUGAGCAGUCAUACUUAUUCUUCCUCUCCAGGAUUCCACAAGGAAAGCAACAGUACAGCACAAUUUCUCCAACUGCAGCUCUUGGACCAUGUAUGGAGAGUGGCUAGGGGGAUGUGGCCACAGUGCAGACAGGAGCUGUUGGGAGAUUGGAGAAUAAUCUAGGAAUCUAUUUUGAAAAUUUCCCUAUUCUUCUUCCCUGGGAUAUUUUACUUGUUUACCAUUUUCUUUUCAUCUCAUUGGCAAAGAUUAGCCUAAAGCCUUCAUCCUGGCCAACACGAAAAUGUUGUCUUUUGAACUCCACUGAUAAAAUUUAAUGUGAUCAAGACUUCUUUUUCUAGGAGAUUUCCAGUCCCUGCUACCCCUCCAGCCUCUAAACCAACUGCACUCCAGGCCUGUGGAGCAGUUAUCGCUGAGACUGCCUGCACUGCAAUACUAGUGUCUCUGACCAGUUUUGGCAUGAGGGUAUUGCUGGCCUUUGAAAAUGAGUUCAGAAGUGUGCCUUCCUCUUCAAGUUUUUGGAAGAGUCUGAGAAUUGGUAUUAAAAUCUUCAAAUGUUUGGUGAAAUUCACGAGUGAAGCUCUCUCCUCCUGGACUUUUGUUUCUUGGGAGGUUUUUGUUUACUGAUUCAAUCUUGUGGCUGUUUUGUAAUUCUUCUUUGUUCCUUUCUUCCCUUGUGCCUUGAUGACUUUAUGUAAUAAAGUCAGAUUCCUUUCUUAUCUUUUAUGUAUCUACUAUAGGUUUUCUUUUUAUGGCAUAACAAGGCUCACAUAUAAUGACCUAUUUGUAUAACCACUAUUUUAAGAUGAUAGCAAGUUAUGCUCCACAAAUAAGUGAAACCAUAUGAUAACUGACUCUCUCUGCUUGACUUAUUUCACUCAGCAUAAUCUCUUCCAGUCCCGUCCAUGUUGGGUACUCAUGGGGAGAUGGAGCAGAGAAGGGAGUUGAGGGAAAUUGGAAGGGGGAGGUGAACCAUGAGAGACUAUGGACUCUGAAAAACCACCUGGGGGUCUUGAAGGGGUGGGGGGUGGAAGGUUGGGGGAACAAGGUGGUGGGUAUUAGGGAGGGCAUGUAUUGCAUGGAGCACUGGGUGUGGUGCAAAAACAAUGAAUACUGUUAUGCUGAAAAGAAAUAAAAUUUUUUUUUAAAAAGACAACAUAAAUAAGACCAAAAAAAAAAAAAAAAAAGAUGAUAGCAAGUUAAGUCUGAACACAUUUUUAAAACUCUAUUUUUACUGCCCCACUCCCAAUUUUAUGUUUAAUGUCACAUUUUACAUCUUGUUAUUUUGUAUGUCCCUUAACCAAUUAUUGUAGUUGUAGUUAUUUUUACUAUUUUCUUUUAAACUUCAUACUAGCGUUAUAAAUUAUUAACCCACUAUCUUAUCUAUAGAUUGACAUUUACCACUGAGUUUUUUACUUUUGUAUGUUUUCUUGUUGCAAGUUAGUGCUCUUUUCUUUCAGCUUAAACAAUUCCCUUUAAUAUUUCUUGGAUAAGGCUGGUUAAGUAGUGCCAAACUCCUUUAGCUUUUGCUUGUCUGGGAAACUCUCUCUCUCCCCUUCAGUUCUGAAUGAUAACCUUCCUGGGUAAAGUAUUCUUGGUUGGAAUUCUUUCCUUUCAGCACCUGAAAGUAUCAUGCUGUUCCCUUUGGGGCCUUAAAAAGUUUCUGCUGAGAAAUUUGUUGGCAGCCUUGUGGAGGGAGGAAGUUCCCUUGUAUAUAACAAGUUGUUUUUCUUUUGCUGCUUUUAAUCACUCAUCAUGUUUUAAUUUCAUAGUUUUGAUUUAAUCUUUUCUAAAUACAGCACUGGAUUAAUACAGAACAAGAGAACAAGAGUCCCCAGCAAAGGAGCCAGAUUGGUAUUAGCACCACCCCCCUUUCACCACCUCCCCAGCCCUUUGAGUUUUAUUUUUUAGGGAUGAUGGCAUCUCUAAGACACCACUUUAUGUUCAUGAAGGCCAGAGCUUUUGAAGUAGCUCAUAAGCCCAACAGAAAUCACAGAGUUUUUAUUUCAUGGUGACUUCUUAACCUUUCUUACCCUGCUAAUGAGGGUGCUUUUACCAGACAUUCUGAGCUGUAACACAUAGUGGAGUUAGGUCUACAGAAAAAUGUCAGAUUUUUCAAUGGUGUGCCCUAAGAUUUCACCCUUCUCUAAGAUUUUUACUUUAAAAAACUAUCUUCAGCCAUGGGUUACAUUCUUUUACUUACGAAGCCAUCUUUUAAAAAAAUAAACCCUAGGCGUGCCUGGAUGGCUGAGUCGGUUAAGUGUCCUACUCUUGGUUGCAGCUCAGGUCAUGAUCUCAGGGUCAUGGGAUCAAACCCCUCGUCAGGCUCAGCACAGAGUCUGCUUGAUAUUCUUACCCUCUCCCUCUGUCCCUUCCUCCACUCAUGCUCUCUAAAAUAAAUAAAUAAAAUCUUUGAAAACCCCUAUAUUGAAUUAUAGCUUUGCAUAUAAUAAAAUGUACCCAUUCUAAGUGUACAGUUUUAACAAAUGUAUAUACUUAGUGAGUAUUCCAACACCCUCCCCACAACCAAAACCCCCCUAAUGCCCUUUAUAGUUAGUUCUCUCUCUACACUCAGCCUUAGCCAACUGCUCUGCUUUCUAUCAUGAUAAAUUAGUUUUACUUUUUCAAGAAUAUUCUGUGAACAGUAUGUAUUCUUUUGGGGUCUGGAUUUUUUACUUAGUAUAAACCUUUUGAGGUUCAUCAAUGUUGUUGUAUGCAUGUAUAACCAGUUCUUUCAUUCCUGAGUAGUAUCCCGUUUUAUGGAUAGAACAGCAUUUGUCGAUCCUUUCGCCUGCUAAUUGGAUGAUGUCCCUAUAGGGGCUGUUAUGAGUAAAGCUGCCAUAGAUAUUUGUGAAUAAGUUUCUGUGCAGUAUUAAUUUCUCCUAAAAAAUAUCUAAAAGCAAAUGCCUGUGUUAUAUAAUUAAGUAUGUGUUUAGCUUUUAAGAAACUACAAGCUACUUUCCAGAAUGGUUGUAUCAUUUUGAACUGCCACUAGUAAUAGAGCUGACCCUGGAACAAUGUGGUUGUUAAAAGCCCAAACCCCAAAUGCCCAGUUGAAAAUCUGAGUAUAACUUUUAUCCCCCAAAAACUCACUUCUAAUAACCUAUGGUUAACCAGAAUCCUUACCAAUAACAUAAACAGUCAACCAAUACAUAUGUUUAUAUGGAUUAAAUACUGUAUUCUUAUAAUAAACUAAAGAUUAAGAAAAUAUAUUUAUAGUACUAUACUACACUUACUGAAAAAAAUCCACAUAUUAGUGGACUAGCAUAGUUCAAACCCAUGUUGUUCAAGGGUCAACUGUAUAAUACAUUCACAGAGCGUUAAGUGCU
This is a long non-coding RNA of Mustela lutreola (European mink), 4189 nucleotides long. RefSeq lists it as uncharacterized. NCBI's taxonomy places the organism in Eukaryota, Metazoa, Chordata, Mammalia, Carnivora, Mustelidae. The record is from RefSeq and is a predicted model, not a curated record. The transcript has 5 exons.